RNAcentral lists this ribosomal RNA (301 nucleotides) under uncultured bacterium. Its description in RNAcentral is "partial 16S ribosomal RNA". It matches the Rfam family "Bacterial small subunit ribosomal RNA", at positions 509 to 807 of the family's 1533-position model. The record is from RNAcentral.
CAGCAGCCGCGGGAAUACAGAGGGUGCGAGCGUUAAUCGGAUUUACUGGGCGUAAAGCGUGCGUAGGCGGCUUCUUAAGUCGGAUGUGAAAUCCCUGAGCUUAACUUAGGAAUUGCAUUCGAUACUGGGAAGCUAGAGUAUGGGAGAGGAUGGUAGAAUUCCAGGUGUAGCGGUGAAAUGCGUAGAGAUCUGGAGGAAUACCGAUGGCGAAGGCAGCCAUCUGGCCUAAUACUGACGCUGAGGUACGAAAGCAUGGGGAGCAAACAGGAUUAGAGACCCCUGUAGUCCCUGUCUCUUAUAC